GAUCGAACGCUGGCGGCAGGCCUAACACAUGCAAGUCGAGCGGAAACGGCAACAUUGACUCUUCGGAUGAUUUGUUGGACGUCGAGCGGCGGACGGGUGAGUAAUGCUUAGGAAUUUGCCCAGUCGAGGGGGAUAACUAUUGGAAACGAUAGCUAAUACCGCAUACGCCCUACGGGGGAAAAGAGGGGACCUUCGGGCCUUCUGCGAUUGGAUAAACCUAAGUGAGAUUAGCUAGUUGGUGAGGUAAUGGCUCACCAAGGCGACGAUCUCUAGCUGGUCUGAGAGGAUGAUCAGCCACACUGGAACUGUGACACGGUCCAGACUCCUACGGGAGGCAGCAGUGGGGAAUAUUGCACAAUGGGCGCAAGCCUGAUGCAGCCAUGCCGCGUGUGUGAAGAAGGCCUUCGGGUUGUAAAGCACUUUCAGCAGUGAGGAAGGUGGUAGUGUUAAUAGCACUAUCAUUUGACGUUAGCUGCAGAAGAAGCACCGGCUAACUCCGUGCCAGCAGCCGCGGUAAUACGGAGGGUGCGAGCGUUAAUCGGAAUUACUGGGCGUAAAGCGCAUGCAGGUGGUUUGUUAAGUCAGAUGUGAAAGCCCUGGGCUCAACCCGGGAAGGUCAUUUGAAACUGGCAAGCUAGAGUACUGUAGAGGGGGGUAGAAUUUCAGGUGUAGCGGUGAAAUGCGUAGAGAUCUGAAGGAAUACCGGUGGCGAAGGCGGCCCCCUGGACAGAUACUGACACUCAGAUGCGAAAGCGUGGGGAGCAAACAGGAUUAGAUACCCUGGUAGUCCACGCCGUAAACGAUGUCUACUUGGAGGUUGUUNCCCUUGAGGAGUGGCUUUCGGANCUAACGCGUUAAGUANACCCCCUGGGGAGUACGGUCNCAGAUUA
Molecule: ribosomal RNA, 890 nt
Filed under: uncultured bacterium
Lineage: Bacteria
Description: bacterial SSU rRNA
Rfam family: Bacterial small subunit ribosomal RNA
Source: RNAcentral